This 407-nucleotide ribosomal RNA is filed under the name uncultured bacterium. Its description in RNAcentral is "partial 16S ribosomal RNA". It matches the Rfam family "Bacterial small subunit ribosomal RNA", at positions 30 to 526 of the family's 1533-position model. The record is from RNAcentral.
AUUGAACGCUGGCGGCAGGCCUAACACAUGCAAGUCGAGCGGAGCGGCGGAGGGGUGAGUAAGGCAUAGGAAUCUGACUGGUAGUGGGGGAUAACGUCCGGAAACGGGCGCUGAUACCGCAUACUAUCAGAUGAGCCUAGGUCGGAUUAGCUAGAUGGUGGAGUAAAGGCCAACCAAGGCGACGAUCCGUAACUGGUCUGAGAGGAUGACCAGUCAAACUGGAACUGAGACACGGUCCAGACUCCUACGGGAGGCAGCAGUGGGGAAUAUGGGACAAUGGGCGAAAGCCUGAUGCAGCCAUGCCGCGUGUGUGAAGAAGGUCUUCGGAUUGUAAAGCACUUUCAGCUGGGAGGCGUUACCAACAGAAUAAGCACCGGCUAACUUCGUGCCAGCAGCCGCGGUAAUUC